Molecule: non-coding RNA, 223 nt
Organism: Pelobates cultripes (western spadefoot toad)
Lineage: Eukaryota; Metazoa; Chordata; Amphibia; Anura; Pelobatidae
Source: the annotation of a GenBank genome assembly
GGGGGGGUGGGAUUUAACUUUAAUUUUUAUUUUUUUUACACAGGGAAGCAGAUCAGCACUGAUCCGUCUCCCUGCACUUCACACAGAACCCGGAAGUGCAGGGAGGCGGAAGGUGAGUAUGUGGAGCACAUGUGCUCGCUCUGACAUGCUGUCAGGGCGAGCACCGGUGCUGGGGCAGCCCGAUCGGGUGCUCCCGGUCUGCCUCUAAUGCAGAGGCAGACCG